ACAACAGCCCUUCCUUCUUAGAUGCCCCCAGAAGCAACAGAAAAGGGCCCUGGGAACUACUGAGCAUGUGUAGCCAGGCCUACCGCCGGGCAUGCUGGGAGUUGUGGUCCUUGAAAACACAUUGCCCCUGACAGGAGUUCUAAACCAGAGGACUGAGGAGUUUCCUUCCCCUUCGGACAAGCAGACAGACGUUGUCGAACAACAGCCAGAGUCCCCAGGUUUCUAAAAUCCACUUUCUAAAACUUCCCUAAUUUUAAACACUGAGGCCUGGGUUUCUCACACCAACACCUCUUCACUUGCCAGCAAUCAAGACCCCUUUCCAAGUCAAUCCUUCGACACAAGAGAAAAAGCUCCCAGAUGACUACAGAAAUAAUACCUAGCAGGAUUUAGGCAAGGGAGAGUAAGGGAAGAUCUUCUAGGACCCCAGAAAGUGAGCAAAGAGAAUGGAUGAUUUUGCCUACUUUCCCAAAAUUUCCUAAGGAAAAAAGGAAGAGACUGGCUUUAUUUUAACUCCAUUUCCCCUCCCUAACCCCUAUACUAAUUGCUCAAGCCCUCUUUUCCCAGAAAAGCGGGAAACUGGGGCCUAGGGAGGUGAAGGGCCUAACCAAGCCUUUGAGUGAUCAGCUAGCUCUGCUGAGGGACUCAGGACUUCCUCGUUCCCAAGCCACACCUCUCUUCACCCUAAUUUUUGGGACAGCCCCCCAGAAAGGACCCUAAAGCCAGCAAGCUCUCCCUAUGGAUCCUCGGGGUCAUCCCUGGCCUUCUAGGGUCAGCCACACCUCAUCAGAGUAGUCCUGGGGGGCUGGGGGAGCAGAGCAUAGAGACUAAGGGGCUCUAUCAAUGAAUAGGGCUGGGGCCUCCAGAGAUUGGAAACAGGCAGCACAGCUGCCGCCUGUUUUACACCCCUACCAAUGCCAUCUCUCACUACAGGGUUAAUACCAAGAAAUCUUUCAAGGACAGGGCCCACACUUCCCUAGUUUCUAAACUGGGCCUAGGGAACCCUGGGGUGGGAGUGCGGAGGGGGAUGGGGAGUGGAGACUCCGGUCAGAUCCCUUCAGCAUGGCAUGACAGGUGGGGGUACUGAGAAAAAAGGCACCUGUCCCAGGAGAAAGCUGGGAGAAGUGAGGAGAAUCCUGGAGCCUGCACAAAUGCUCAGAGCCCUAGUCACAGGCCCUCCAGCACAGUCAGCACGGAUCUGGCCACUUCCCCUCUGAGGAAGGCAAGGCCGCUCUCCUAGCCCAGUGGGGGCAAAUCAGAGGACCAGGUUAAGCCCCAGUUGCAGAGGGGUUGGAGAGGUGUGGGAGGGGCCAAAAAGGGCAGGCGGGAAUAGCCAGGGGCUCAUGGGCAGCAGACCCUCCAGGCCAGAUUCGGAGAAAGCCACAAACAAAAGCCAUUUUUUCCGGCCCACAGUCGCAGGAAACAAAUCUCUCCAGCCUCCUCUAUAAUCCUCUGGAGAUUAUGUCCAUCCCCAAGAGAGGGAAGGCAACAGGACUGCGACAGCAUUAGGCCUCCCCCGGUCAAUUUGUUUUACUGGGCAGGGAGUAUUGGGGAGAUCAGCAUCAGGGCCGUCUCUGCUUCCUUCUAGACCUGGCCACCCCUUCCUUCACACAAGUCCGGCUACAGGAACUCCUAUUGCACGAACAGGAAGGGGGAAUGGAGGUGAAAGCGGGAGGGGUCCCCGAGUCCAAGGCGCCAGGCAAAAGUGUGUGUGGAGCGGAAGGGGGGCUUACGGUCAAACCAGGCGGUGGAGUUCUCCCCAGUCCCCACCUCCCCCGGACACGAGAAGCCUAAACAAGGCGGGAGAGGAAGCAGCCCCAGGGGCGUGUGCGGACUGCUGGGACAACUCUAGCCAGUCCCGAUAGCCGAUCAUCCUCCCAGCACACACAAAAUAAAAACACACCUGGACUGUGAGGAGACUUGAGCCAUCUUUCCCGGAUCUCAGGCACACCCCAACACACCAGGCCGCAAGGCAAGCCUCACUUCUGGUCUCUGGACGGACAUUGCCAGGAAAGCCCUCCCCUAAGCUCUGACACCCUCGCUCCCCGAGUAGAGAAACUGGCCCCUGCUAAGAGACGUGAUCUUGCUGCACCCAUUGCCGGGCCCGGGCAGUGCGGACUUCACUCACCUCUUCACAGGGCGAUCCAGAAAUCUUCACCCGAGAACAUGGCCACAGCUCCGGCCGCUCCCCGACCUCCACCCGCCAGGACGAUCACAACCGCCCCCCACACGGGGGGGGCCAAAGAGGGGCCAAGAACGGUAAAUCCAGGUCGGAGCGGGCCCCCCCUUCAAGAAAAAUUUAAAGUGGAUGAAAACACCAAGCGGGGAGUUAGUUCUCUGCUCUCGGUCCCAGCCGCUUAGGUUUCCUAAGCAAAGCCCCGGGGCGGCGAAUCCAGAGCCGACACAAAGGGAGCACCCGUGGCUUUGAUCUUCGGCGAGCAGCCUUCACCUCCGAAGAGCUGGUCCGCCUCCCAGCCCCGGGCCCGCCGGGCGCCCCCCCACCCCACCCCGCGAUGCCCAGCGCCCGGUUCCUGGUGGAAGGAAGGCUGAAAUGCUCUCGAUGGAACGCGGGAGGCUUCCCUUCGCCAGCCCAGAUGGAACGCGGAACCUCUUCCCCGGCUGGCCCGGAUGGAACGCUGAGACACUUCGGAUGGAACGCAGAAGCUCUCCCCGCCUCGGGCCCCCUGAGGCCGUGCUCGCUUAGCUACAUUGAAGCGAAGCCGGCAGGGCCUCGGGAGUGAAACUGACACACACGCACGGGCCCCGCCGUCUCCGCCCCAACCUCUCUCUCCUUCCGCAGCCUCGGGCCCCGCACCUUCUCCUCCUCCAGGGGAAGGGAGGGUCGGGCGACGAAGGAACGGGCUGUAGGAAGCCUCUGCCCGCUCCUCUCCGGCCGCUCCGGGCCCAGCUCUCGCCUCCCUUCCCCUCUCGCUCCGAGGGCUGCCCCGACUCCGAUCCGGCCGGAUCAGGCUGGCUUGCACUCCACUAUCGCGUGCAGGCUAGGACCACUGGGGAUCUAAAGGUACAUGGCCCAGCCCCGGCUCCCGGCGCCGGGGGUCAGGAAACUGAGCGGAAAGUGGGGACCAAGGCAGCCAUUUGCAACCGGAGAGGAAAGUAGUGCAGCAGAGACACAGCUCCGCCUCCCCCCUCCGCCUCCUGCGCGGCCGGGAGGGUGGAUCCUGCCAACCGGGCUGCUCUGCGGCCCGAGAUGUUGACGGCGGGCGUAAAGAUCCAGAGAACCUCCUGCGGAAGAAUCGUGAGGGGGCUUGGGCCGAAGGACCCAGUUGGAGAAGGGGAAAAAGAAGAGGACGAGGCCCUAUUUUGUGUUGGACCUGAGCGGCGGAGGGACACAGUUCUUUCGGUGGAAGGCUGUGACUCUGCAGUUCUGCGCACACGCUGAGGAAUCCCUCCGCUUGAGGUUAACCCCGACGGCGCCGGUCAGACCUAUGCGCAGACACGUGGGAUUGAAGUUCUCUUGAGCUCUUGUCCUUCCCCACAAUUUUCCCCAACGGCCUAUGUUCCGAUCGGGACCUGGAACCUAUAAGUCCACAUUUCCUCUGCCUCUUCUCUCAAUUUAUUCUUCUCGGGAUUCCCAGGACCCGAAACUCCAGCUCCCCCCCCCCCCCUUGGUCCUGGGGCAUUCUUGCUAAGGAGGGGGAUGGAAGAAGAGAAGAGGAGACUGGGGAUUGGCUGCUGCUCUGCACCCUGGGAACUGGAGUCCCCAAACGGAGAAAGUGAGGACUAGGCUCCCUGGUCUCACAGGAAGGAUUUUCUCUACAUUCUGGGCACUGUGGAAGACUAGAGCAAAAGCCUCAUCUUCCCACUCCUGGGAGAAAAAGGAGGCUAGAGGGGAGCGGGGAGAAGUGUGUGCCCCCUCAUUUCCUCUGAUAGAAAGGCAGCGAUCCUUGUAGAAGGCAAAACAGACUCCCUAGCAGACUCGCUCUUGUUUCCUGGCCCAAAUUGAGUUACCCGGGACAAUUGAGAGAAAAUCCCCUUGAAAUACAAUCCUGGCAAACCUGGGUGAGAGGGAGGAAGAAGUUCUCAAUUAUUAGAGCCGUGGAGUUUCCCUGGGCCCAGGAUCCUGGUUCUGGGCCUUUCCAAAGCCAUAAAGAGGGAAGAGGGGAGGGUCCUCCUGAACCCUAAAUUCAAAGUAGCCCAAGUUUUGUGGGCCUCCUUUCCCUGUUUCCUCACCUCUUAUUCUUGAAUCAGUACUACAAAACAAAAGAUUUCCUUUUUCAGGAAAA
This is a long non-coding RNA of Monodelphis domestica (gray short-tailed opossum), 4241 nucleotides long. RefSeq lists it as uncharacterized. NCBI's taxonomy places the organism in Eukaryota, Metazoa, Chordata, Mammalia, Didelphimorphia, Didelphidae. The record is from RefSeq and is a predicted model, not a curated record.